This 23-nucleotide non-coding RNA is filed under the name Arabidopsis thaliana (thale cress). The record is from RNAcentral. Lineage: Eukaryota; Viridiplantae; Streptophyta; Magnoliopsida; Brassicales; Brassicaceae.
CAAAAUAUUUGGACCACUUGUGU